Apis laboriosa (Himalayan honeybee) is the source of this 1223-nucleotide long non-coding RNA. RefSeq lists it as uncharacterized. The transcript is spliced from 3 exons. The record is from RefSeq and is a predicted model, not a curated record. Lineage: Eukaryota; Metazoa; Arthropoda; Insecta; Hymenoptera; Apidae.
CCAUCAUGUAUAUGACAAUCAUUAAUAUUAUUGUGUUCCUUGUGUUAUGAAUUAUUAUUUAAUGAUACGAUCAUUACGAUUUACUAUAUUUUUUCGAAAAUAAUAAGCAAAAACCAAGUAUUGAUCGACAAAGCAACGAGAUUUCUGGCACAUUCUCCCACCUAGCCCCACUAUAACCUAACUCACACAAUCAUAUGCUUUCUCUUAUGAUAUACAUAGUAUAGUUGUGUUGGUUGAACUAUGUUUACGAAAACAAGGAACGACUAACCUCAUGUUAUUUGACUGUUUGUUUUCAUCGUUACGUCAGGAGAAAAGGCUAUAUUUUAGAAAUAUAUAAUUCUCAAAAUUAAGGAAUAUGUAAAAUCGCCUUUAAUUAAUAAUAUAAAUUUUUAUGUUAUUUCUAGAAUAUAUGUUUAUACCAUAUUCUCGUUAAUUAUUAUUUUGAUAGUAUAAAUAUGAAAUUUUAAGGAACAUUUCUUGACUUCUUUUGCUGAUUUAUCUGAUCUCUGAAUAAAAAUAUUAUAUUUUUUAUUGAAUUUAAUAACUAGAUUGUAUUUUCACAGAUAUGAGCAAUUAUUAACAUGCUAAAAAACAAUAGGUUUUGCGCGACAGCUGUAGCUCUAUCGAUUUUCCAAGCGCGUCUUCCUACCUAGAUGCAUUAUAUCUCAUAUGAAAGACGCGUAAUUGAUACAAGUUUAUUCAUGAGAAUUGCGACUAAGAAUUCUUUAUGAUAUAAUUUAGAGAGAGAAACUACUGAUCAGUUUCGAUAUAGAAAUGAGAGUACAUAUAUAAAUAUAACGAUGAGCAGAUGUUCGCAAUAGAUUUACAUACAAUUCAAAAAUGAUAAAAAUAGAAAUAGAAUGUCAAUUGAUGCAUUCAGCUGGACAGACUAUGUAUCUAUUAAUGUUUUUAAUAUAAUCCCUUAGAUUCACUAGUGCGUAAUAUUCUGAAACGAUAUAAUUUCAUAGCAACAUAACAUGUAUCAAAUGGUACUUACUGCGUAUUCUAACUUAAUGAUGUCAUUUAUGCAAAUAAUAGGUUAUAAUAUAUAUUUAGAAAUUAACGAUAUCUUUAUAUAUAUCAAUGCAUUAUGAUGUUUAUAACGUUUUUAUCUUAUAAAUCAGGGUUUAUUUUUCUAAAUUAUUACUUAUUGAUUAAGUAUAAUAUAAAAAUUUCUACAUUCUAAUUCUAUAGAACAACUUAAUAAAAUGCACUCAAUCAUA